GCCGAAGCUUAGGCAGCAGCAGCAGCCAGUGGGCGCGAAGCCACUGCUAGUCGCAGCCAAUUGGAAGGCAAAAAGCUCUUCCGGGGAAGGCGGGCUGAAUUCCGUAGCCACGCCCCCGACACGAGCCUGGGGCUUCAGGGGUAUUGGGGGCCGAAUUUGGCCAGAGCAACGUGUGUUUGCUUGGAUUGGCUAGCGGGGCAGCGUGCGAGGUGCUGAUUGGUCGCUGGGAGAUGGAACGAUUUCGCGUGGGGUGUGAGUUAGUCCGAAGCUGGCCACCUGCGUGUGUAAGCAAGCUUGGGGGUUUGCCUCAGGCAGGGUGUCCUGUGGCAUUUAAUUGAGAAAGAACUUUACGUGGCGGUAAAUCCGGCUGGAAGGAAAAAAAAACACAAAGAGGCUGUAUAAGGACAGCGAGGGAUAGACUGGCUUAAAUUCGCGUGAAGAUUUAGUAUCGCGCGGCUGUACUAGUGAUCCCAGGGCCAAAAGUCAAAUAAGGAAGGAAGGAAACGCGCUCGUGAGAGAAUAAGGGCUCUUUGGCCUCCCGAGGUCUCUCACGACUCAGAGGCUUAUCCACAAAGUCGCUGCCACAGUGUGAAUUGACGUUUUGCCAAAUUCUUGUCUUCAGAUAAGGGAAUUCUGAAAACGACCUUGAAAGUAGAGAAGAGGAGGGUGCAGAUAGCUUUAGCAGCCUCGCAAAGGGUUCUUGUGUUCAUCUAUUUGAAGGUAGCCACAUCUGAGCCUGAUAGAGAGAACUUUGCAUCAGACGUCCUGGCCUGUGAGCUGCGUUUAGUCUCUGGAUGGGACUUUGAAGUCAUACUCCUCAGGGACAAAGGCGAGAGAGGGAACCAGGAGUCGGAACUCUUCCUCUUCAAGACCACGGGGUGUGGUCAGAGGGACUUCCUAGCUUGGCUGCAUAUCCUGACAAGAAGCCUGCAAAGGUCGUGUUCUAUAAGAAGCACUGUUCGCCUAACCCAUGCACUCUGGAUAUGAAAAAUUCUGAUUUUUCCACUACUUGCUGCCUAAAAAAUAGGUGGAAGCUUCUUUACCUGCAGGCUUCCUCUGGCUAAUUGUUCCAUGAGUGGCAGCAAUGCUGUGGUCUGACAUGAGAGAGCACAGGCGUCCAGCAGUGAGGAUGGAGGCAGAAAUGAGGUUUAAUUUUAUUUUUUAAUCUUUUUAGGGCCACACCUGUCACAUAUGGU
Molecule: long non-coding RNA, 1196 nt
Organism: Phacochoerus africanus (Common warthog)
Lineage: Eukaryota; Metazoa; Chordata; Mammalia; Artiodactyla; Suidae
Exons: 3
Source: RefSeq, a predicted model, not a curated record